This 486-nucleotide ribosomal RNA is filed under the name uncultured bacterium. RNAcentral's name for it is "partial 16S ribosomal RNA". It matches the Rfam family "Bacterial small subunit ribosomal RNA", at positions 28 to 507 of the family's 1533-position model. The record is from RNAcentral.
GAUGAACGCUGGCGGCGUGCCUAAUACAUGCAAGUCGAACGCUGGAGAUCUAGCUUGCUAGAUCGAAGGAGUGGCGAACGGGUGAGUAAUACAUAAGCAACCUACCCACGAAGACUGGGAUAAUCUCUGGAAACGGGGACUAAUACCGGAUAGGUAAUCGGAAGGCAUCUUCUGGUUAUUAAAGGUUAAAAACACUGGUGGAUGGGCUUAUGGCGCAUUAGUUAGUUGGUGAGGUAACGGCCCACCAAGACGAUGAUGCGUAGCCGGCCUGAGAGGGUGAACGGCCACAUUGGGACUGGGACACGGCCCAGACUCCUACGGGAGGCAGCAGUAGGGAAUGUUCGGCAAUGGGGGCAACCCUGACCGAGCAACGCCGCGUGAGGGAAGACGGCCUUCGGGUUGUAAAGCUCUGUUGUAAGGGAAGAACGGUAGAUAGAGAAUAUCUAAGUGACGGUACCUUACCAGAAAGCCACGGCUAACUACGUG